CUACUACAUCAAUCAGACCACAAGGUGCCCUUUCAGGAAAGUAAUGGAGUAUAAUCAACCUAACUUCAUUGAUCUACAAGGACUACUGAAAAUUAUAAAACUUUCUUUGGGAUUCUAACAUGCCAGAAACCACUAGAAAAAGAAGUUUGAUAUCUCAGAGGUUCUCCUCAUCGUGGUAUAGAGACCAAAAUGAUACUUUCAAAAAGCCUGACAGGUUUCUCCGGAAAAGUGACCAUCCAUGGAAUGAAUGAAAUGUUCCCUUUCUAUUCCAGUGUUGCUUACUCUUUAGCCUGGAAAGAAAAGGGGCUUAACCUGUGAUUAAAUUUAAAGUCAAUUGACCUCAACAUGAGAGUACAUAAUUCUCACUUGCCUAUGGAAUGGCCUGAGUCUGUUUUAACCCCGAUUCUGGCACCUGUGUUUUUAAUGUUUGGAGUAGCUAAAGCUAGAGUUGCUCGUUUGGUUAGAAAUAAAGUGGGUGGAGAACAGUUCUAAGCAAAUAACAAAUGAUGGUCAGCCGACUAAGUCUUUAAUCCAGCGCUCAAUGUGUUCUUUUCUUUUAAUGCAUUAAUUGUAAGUUCGUGUAAAUUAUUAUUCAAACUUUUUUUAAAAAAUAUGGAUUCAUGGGCAACCAUUUUAUUACUAAGGAUACAGAGUAAAUCUAAAUCUGUGAAUUACUAACAAGCAAAGGAUGUGAGAAUGAUGACACUUUCAAAUGCUUAAGUUUGCUUAUGUAACCUAUCACAGGCUUUUUAAAUAAGCCUUGCACUUUAAAGAUUUUCUUAGCCCUAGGAAUGAAAUAGCAAUAUUGUUUUUCCAGGUUUCUGUAAAUUAACAAAAGACUGUUUACUUUUAGCAAGAUGACCUUGUUUGAGUUUUGGAGACAAACAUAUAUCUACUUCUCAAAAGCAAAAUAAAAAUCAAUGACAUCUAAAAUUACCAUUUACACUUGAAGCUAUUCUCCAUGCAUUUUAUGUAAAAUGACUGCAUGCUAAGAAUAAGUCUAUAAGGUGAGAACAGCCUAGACUGUUGUUUUUUCUUUCUCAUUUCCUUUUUAACCUGAGAAUUAGAAGAAAGUACUGAUGAUGCUUGCUUAACCCUGCUUUUAGUGCCAGGCUGUGACCAGCUCUCUGUGAAACCAUUUCUGACCCUCUGCUUGCAGUGGUGAACAUGAAUUUUUCCCCUUCCUUGCCCAUCACUGUCAGUCAAUUAUAGGAUUGAACUGAACCAGAAAAUCUGGUACAGUCUGGUAAUUAGUACAAAGGGUUUCCAGUCUAGUGUAAAGACGGGGAUGCAAGAGCCCCAGCAGUCACAGAAAUCGUUUUGAUUGGCCAUGGACAUUGCCUUUUAGUGCUGCUCGGUGACUUCCUAAAGAUAUUGCCUCCUACCCUACAGGUUUUCUCCUUCAAGUACAUUAUGGACCUUUUCAAAAGUCAUGUGUGUGUGUGUGUGUGUGUGUGUGCGCGUGUGCGUGCGUGCGUGCAUGUGUGUGUGUGUGUGUGUGUGUGUGUGUGUAUACGUUUCUUUUUUUAGAUCCAACUUCUCCCAUUUUUAGUCUGUCAUUUUUGCCUAUCAAACAGACACAUUUUGACUUGCCCAACAAAGAACCAAGUUAUCAACACUCACAGAAACUGACAUUUUUAAUUCAGGCUUCAUUAUGUCUUUGAAUUAUGACAGUGAAGUACAAAGACGUUUUAAGAGUUUUUUCAUUAUUUUUUUAAAUCCAGCAUUGGGAUGUUUAUCUUUCUUUAGUAUUCAUAUUUCCUUUUCUAUCUUUAUUCUCAGUAAUAUAUAAUUAGCAUUAUCAAAACCAUCAGCUAUUAUCCUUUAUGACUUUUGACCUUUAUUUUUUAAUAUGUCUCAAGCUAGCAUUCUCUAAAACAAAAAUUCUAUGAGAGAUAUUAACGAAAUAUUUUAGGGUUAUAAAAACAAUGAAAUGAUUUAAAACAUGAAUCUUUUUAAAUAUCAACAUUACAUGAAUAGGCAAGUAACACAUUAUAUGAUAAAACUAUAGUGACAAAAUAAAUUUCAGAAAAAAAUUAUUCUGUAAAUCAAGCUUGCAUUUGGUGGUAAGUGUAACUUUAUAGUCUGUAGUUCAUCACACAUUUUUAACCACUACUAUGGAGUUAUUGGCUUAAUGUCAAUGGUAUUUAUAUACUUUUUGCAGAAAAAGUAAUUUUUUGUACUAAUUACCAGACUGUACCAGAUUUUUUGCAAACAUCCUCUUUGACUAUAGAUUACAAAAACUCAGUAGUCACACAUUAGAUACAACAAAAGUGUUUGGUAGCUUGUCAUUUUAACAAAUGCUGGCCUUCAAAAGAUAGAUAUAAGUACAUCUAAGGGCAAAUUUAAUGUCUGACACUCUGUGCAAAACUGCAAAAGCAACAGUGCCCAAAAUAACAGAAGCAAAAGAAAGCACAAGGUUUUCCAUUUCCAAGAAUGCUAUUCUAGCACAAUCUGCAUCAUGAUUUUAGUCAUGAUGCAUAUGUGCUGUGAAUCUUUUAAAGGAUCAUUUAUUUACCCACAUCUUAAUGUAGCUUUAAAUAUCUGUUUUAUCCUACAUACAAUCUUAACAAAAGUAGUUAUGUUACCAUGUCUGGUACUUAUUUCUACAUGUCUGAAUUUUGCUAUUAAAUUUCAAGAAGGUUAAUAUUGCUUUUGUAACCCUGUCAUGAGUAAUGCAUUUUCCCAGUAAACAUGUCAUACUUUUAAAAGCUGUUCAAGAAGCAGUAUUUCUGUUGAAAGUUUUGUGUUUAUUUCUCUAUUGUUUUUUUAACCAUAAUAUAGUGUAAUGCUUUGAAAAGAAUACGCAUAUUUAUGUAAUUAACAUUUUUUGUUUUCAGCAAAACCUUGCCCAUUAAAAACGAGAAGAGUCUUAGAAAACCAUAUAAAUGGGCAACGUUUCAGUGACAAUAUUUGCAUUCAAUUUUAAUUCACCACCGAGUCUAUAUCUUGAAAUGUAUCUAUAAAGGACUGAAGGAAGAGUACAUUCUGAUAAUAGUUUUAUUUUUUAAUCUAAAAUAUAUGUUGAAAUUCCAAAGGUGCUUGCCACAUGUGGUAUGGCAGUAUUCUAUGUUCCAUUAUAUCUGAAUGCUUUGUGGGUCUGUAUAAUAUUACAGGCUUUAAUAUGGAUAUAAACAUUCUUUUCUACCUCAGCCUUACUCCUAGUGGCAGGAGUAAGGCUUGGGAAAAACUCUAAAGAUUAUCCAGUCUCAUGAUUUUCAAACUGUGUUCCCUUGAGCUCUUAGGCUCUUUGGGGCUACUUAGGGCUGUGGGGGAAGGGAGACCAAUUGGCCUCUUACCUCCUGCCUUUAUCUGCUGUGUCUAUUAGAGCCCCACGUAAAAUUGGAAUCCCAUGAUGGAGGGAAAAAGUAAAAUACUAUUGACUGAGCCUCUCUUACAGAUAAGGAAAGCAGAGUUUACUUAAAGUGGCACUCUGAAUCAGUGACAACCAACCACUUGUCCCUUAGUCUUAAACCUACUAAACUGCAAUAAACUUUUCCUACACAGUUAUGGGUCUUUUUGUAUUGUCAUCCUAAACAGCAUUACUAAAAACACACACUAAGAUAUCUAUAGCCCAGUGUUCAAAAUCAAGAUAUUUACUGAGGAUACAAUAUCAAGGUAGGUAAUGCAAUUGAGUAAAAUGUUGCAGACCAAAAUCAAGCCCUCUAUUUGGCAAUACAUUAAAUUUGGUGCAUUACUGUAGACUUUAUGUAAAAUAUUGAUUCAUUUAUUACUUAGUAAUAUUUUGUAUUUUUAAAUUUUCAAUUGUGGUUGAAAAAAACACAUCUAAACCAUUUUUUUAAGUGUAAAGUUCAAUACUUAACUAUAUUCACAUUUUUGUACCUGGGGGUAUCUUGCAUGGUGGGAAAAAUUAAUUAAUUAAGACAAAUUCAAAAGAAAAAGAAUUAAAGAAAGUAAAGCUGAAUUAAGAUGCUACUUUUCUCAAAGCAUGUAUUAUGGAAACAUGUUUUAUGGAAACUAUUCCUAUAAGAUGUGCAAAGUAAAAGAGUGACAUGGUCAAAUAAUCUUUGGAAAUAUAGCAUGUUAUGUCCCUUUAUAAGAAAUUUAUAGACUUGUAUUUUAAAAACUCUGAGAAAUCAUAUUGGAAAGAUCUCUUUGAACUAUGUAUACUAGAGUUUCCUAAACAAUUUUUCCAUAGACUUUCCUCACCUAUUUCACAUAAAAAAUCUAUUUUUAUUCUUCAGGGCUAAUGUUUUAUUGAAUACAUUUUGGGAAACUUUCCUCUAACAGCACUUUUGCACAUUAAAAAAAAAAAGAUCUGUAAGGUACUAUUUAAGUUAUUUAUGUUAAAUGGUUCUGAAUUUACCAAUCCUUCAUCCUCAUUUUGUGGAUAUUAAUGGACAUCCAUUAAUUCAAUCACCCAGCAGAUAUUUACGGACAGUGCUAAAUGCUAGGAAAUACAGUAAUGAGUAAAUCAAUCUUAUCUUAUAGAGCUUAACGUCCAGGGGAAAAAAAUCACAAAGAGAGAGGGAGAG
Molecule: long non-coding RNA, 4496 nt
Filed under: Sus scrofa (pig)
Lineage: Eukaryota; Metazoa; Chordata; Mammalia; Artiodactyla; Suidae
Description: lncRNA (ENSSSCG00035074301.1)
Rfam family: SOX2 overlapping transcript exon 2 (bases 203-271)
Source: RNAcentral